GGUUAAGCGACUAAGCGUACACGGUGGAUGCCUAGGCAGUCAGAGGCGAUGAAGGACGUGCUAAUCUGCGAUAAGCGUCGGUAAGGUGAUAUGAACCGUUAUAACCGACG
RNAcentral lists this ribosomal RNA (110 nucleotides) under Leclercia tamurae. RNAcentral's name for it is "partial 23S ribosomal RNA". It matches the Rfam family "Bacterial large subunit ribosomal RNA", at positions 1 to 109 of the family's 2925-position model. The record is from RNAcentral. Lineage: Bacteria; Pseudomonadati; Pseudomonadota; Gammaproteobacteria; Enterobacterales; Enterobacteriaceae.